Molecule: non-coding RNA, 1105 nt
Organism: Ictidomys tridecemlineatus (thirteen-lined ground squirrel)
Lineage: Eukaryota; Metazoa; Chordata; Mammalia; Rodentia; Sciuridae
Source: RefSeq, a predicted model, not a curated record
GGCAGGUCUGCAGACUCAGCCAUGGGACAUUGAGGGCUGACAGAGGAGCAUCAGGAGCCUGUGGGCUGGUGACUGUUCUGGGAGAAGCAGGUGCCAGUCUGCUGGGUGAGGAUAAAGAUGUGUAUGGAAAAUUCUCAUCUGGAAUGGAAGCUGGGCAGAGGUCAACAUGUGUCCCUGUUUGAAGGCCCCAUGAGAUGUGUGCCCAACCCCACAGAGGAGACCCUUAGAGUGUGGGUGUGGGGAGCUGACUAAGACGCUGCUCUGUGUUCAUAGGCUAUGGAUGCCCUGUGGACAGGAGGGGUCACUGCUCUCACAACACAGACAACAUCAAGAAACCCCCAAGUUCAUGAUGGCAUUUCAUCUACCAGCCUGAAGUGAUCAUCUUGCUGAUAACAAUGUACAGCUCAAUUAAGAAAUGAAACAUUACUCAAGCCCCUUCCAUAACUACCCACACUAUAAUCACAUUAUAUUUCACCAGACUUGAACAAGCAGUUAAAAAAUCCCAAAAUGUGGAAGAGAAAUCAUUGACAAUGCUCACUUUGCAGUUCCAAAUGGGAAACAGGAAUUUAAAAAAAAAAAAUUCAUUCAGGAUACCAGCAAAUUGCACUGACACACAUACGAGAAUUCCAAAAGAGAAGAAUGAAAAUAGAAGGGGCAAAACCUUAUUUUGAAGUGAAAUGCACUUCACUUUCUUAAAUGUCAUCUAAUAUAUGAAAGUACUAAUCCAAGAGGUUGAACAACCUCCACGUUCCAUCGACUUGAGCAGAUCCACGCUGAGGCACAUUGUAAACCAAUCUGCCAAAGCUAAAGUAAAAGAGACAACACUAAAGCAGAAAGAGAGGCCUGUUCACCACAUACAGGGUUCCUCCGAAGGUGUUUAUCAAGUUCUUAAUGAUGGGAACCAGAGGUAGUAAGAUGAUGCAUCUACAGUGUUGAAAAAAAAUGGUACCAAGAAUUCUCUACCUAAGAGAAAAAACAUUCCUUCCAACAUGAAUGAGAAAUGAAGAUAUUUCCAGAAAAAAAAACUGAGCAAUUCACUCCCUGUAGAAAUGUCAUGCAAGAAAUGCUAAAGGGAAACCAUUAGGUUGAAGUGAAAGGAUGUUAG